Molecule: ribosomal RNA, 386 nt
Filed under: uncultured bacterium
Lineage: Bacteria
Description: bacterial SSU rRNA
Rfam family: Bacterial small subunit ribosomal RNA
Source: RNAcentral
AUUGAACGCUGGCGGAAUGCUUUACACAUGCAAGUCGAGCGGCAGCGCGGGGGCAACCCUGGCGGCGAGCGGCGAACGGGUGAGUAACAUAUCGGAACGUACCCCGUCGUGGGGAUAACACAGCGAAAGCUGUGCUAAUACCGCAUACGACCUGAGGGUGAAAGCGGGGGAUCGCAAGACCUCGCGCGAUGGGAGCGGCCGAUAUCGGAUUAGCUUGUUGGUGAGGUAAAGGCUCACCAAGGCGACGAUCCGUAGCUGGUCUGAGAGGACGACCAGCCACACUGGAACUGAGACACGGCCCAGACUCCUACGGGAGGCAGCAGUGGGGAAUUUUGGACAAUGGGCGAAAGCCUGAUCCAGCCAUGCCGCGUGAGUGAAGAAGGCCU